This 448-nucleotide ribosomal RNA is filed under the name uncultured bacterium. RNAcentral describes it as "bacterial SSU rRNA". It matches the Rfam family "Bacterial small subunit ribosomal RNA", at positions 355 to 796 of the family's 1533-position model. The record is from RNAcentral.
UCGAGAAUUUUUCACAAUGGGCGAAAGCCUGAUGGAGCGACGCCGCGUGGGGGAUGAAUGGCUUCGGCCCGUAAACCCCUGUCAUUUGCGAACAAACCUCGUCACCUAACAAGUGGCGAGCUGAUUGUAGCGGAAGAGGAAGGGACGGCUAACUCUGUGCCAGCAGCCGCGGUAAUACAGAGGUCCCAAGCGUUGUUCGGAUUCACUGGGCGUAAAGGGUGCGUAGGCGGUUGGGUAAGUCUGACGUGAAAUCUUCAAGCUCAACUUGGAAAUUGCGUCGGAUACUAUCUGGCUAGAGGAAUGGAGGGGAGACUGGAAUUCUCGGUGUAGCAGUGAAAUGCGUAGAUAUCGAGAGGAACACCAGUGGCGAAGGCGAGUCUCUGGACGUUUCCUGACGCUGAGGCACGAAAGCCAGGGGAGCAAACGGGAUUAGAUACCCCCGUAGUCC